RNAcentral lists this ribosomal RNA (678 nucleotides) under uncultured marine group III euryarchaeote. RNAcentral describes it as "bacterial SSU rRNA". It matches the Rfam family "Archaeal small subunit ribosomal RNA", at positions 321 to 1001 of the family's 1478-position model. The record is from RNAcentral. Lineage: Archaea; Methanobacteriati; Thermoplasmatota; Thermoplasmata; Candidatus Thermoprofundales.
CCCUAUGGGGUGCAGCAGGCGCGAAACCUCCUCAAUGCACUUACGUGCGAAGGGGCUACCUCGAGUGCCACCUGAUGAAGGUGGCUUUUCCUAGGUCUAAAAAGCCUUGGGAAUAAGAGGGGGGCAAGACUGGUGUCAGCCGCCGCGGUAACACCAGCCCCUCGAGUGGUGGGGAUGAUUAUUGGGCCUAAAGCGUCCGUAGCCUGCCGUGUAAGUUUCCCGUUAAAUCCAGCGUCUCAAGCGUUGGACCGCGGGAAAUACUGUACGGCUAGAGAGUGGGAGAGGUCAGCGGUAUUCUGGGGGUAGGGGCGAAAUCCUUUGAUCCCCGGAGGACCACCAGUGGCGAAGGCUGCUGACUAGAACACGUCUGACGGUCAGGAACGAAAGCUGGGGUAGCGAACCGGAUUAGAUACCCGGGUAGUCCCAGCCGUAAACGAUGCAUGCUAGGUGUUGGGUUGGCCACGAGCCACCCCAGUGCCGCAGGGAAGCCGUUAAGCAUGCCGCCUGGGAAGUACGAUCGCAAGGUUGAAACUUAAAGGAAUUGGCGGGGGAGCACCACCAGGCGUGAAGCCUGCGGUUUAAUUGGAGUCAACGCCGGGAACCUUACCGGGAGCGACAGCAGAGUGAAGGUCAGAUUGAAGAUCUUACCAGACGAGCUGAGAGGAGGUGCAUGGCCAA